Molecule: transfer RNA, 71 nt
Filed under: Loxodonta africana (African savanna elephant)
Lineage: Eukaryota; Metazoa; Chordata; Mammalia; Proboscidea; Elephantidae
Rfam family: tRNA
About the family: Transfer RNA (tRNA) molecules are approximately 80 nucleotides in length.
Source: Rfam by way of RNAcentral
GCAGUGGUGGUCUAGUGGUAGAAUUCCUGCCUUUCACGUGGGAGACCAGGGUUCAUUUCCCGGCCAAUGCA